RNAcentral lists this ribosomal RNA (473 nucleotides) under Escherichia coli. Its description in RNAcentral is "bacterial SSU rRNA". It matches the Rfam family "Bacterial small subunit ribosomal RNA", at positions 1 to 470 of the family's 1533-position model. Lineage: Bacteria; Pseudomonadati; Pseudomonadota; Gammaproteobacteria; Enterobacterales; Enterobacteriaceae. The record is from RNAcentral.
AAAUUGAAGAGUUUGAUCAUGGCUCAGAUUGAACGCUGGCGGCAGGCCUAACACAUGCAAGUCGAACGGUAACAGGAAACAGCUUGCUGUUUCGCUGACGAGUGGCGGACGGGUGAGUAAUGUCUGGGAAACUGCCUGAUGGAGGGGGAUAACUACUGGAAACGGUAGCUAAUACCGCAUAACGUCGCAAGACCAAAGAGGGGGACCUUCGGGCCUCUUGCCAUCGGAUGUGCCCAGAUGGGAUUAGCUUGUUGGUGGGGUAACGGCUCACCAAGGCGACGAUCCCUAGCUGGUCUGAGAGGAUGACCAGCCACACUGGAACUGAGACACGGUCCAGACUCCUACGGGAGGCAGCAGUGGGGAAUAUUGCACAAUGGGCGCAAGCCUGAUGCAGCCAUGCCACGUGUAUGAAGAAGGCCUUCGGGUUGUAAAGUACUUUCAGCGGGGAGGAAGGGAGUAAAGUUAAUACCUUU